GCUCGCUCGGCCGCCCAGCUCCCACCUGCGCCUCUCCGCGGCCCCUCUCCACCGGCCGCUGGGCCCGGAUCCCUUCGGCGCCCCUCUGCACCCACCCCCACGCGCCCUCCACUCGGCUCAGAUCUACCUCCGCGCCUCUCCGCGACCCCGGAACCCCGCGCCCUGUCCGGCCCAUUCCCAGCCGGAUAGACCGCGCUCCCCUCUGUCCGACCUUGGCAACUCCUGCGCGCCCCCUCCCCACCUCUAGUCGCCCCUCGGAGCCGCUUGGUUUCGGGAUCCACCCGCAUCCACCCCUCCAACAACCCUUUCGUAGCCCUCGCCCCUAGUCCAUAGCAGGCGCUGCCCUACCCAGUCCUUGCCGGACACACCGCGACCCCUUUCGUGCUCCCUUGACAACCCUGGCCCCACCUCCACCUGGCGCCCACUCGAAUCCGCCCCUCCCUUCUACCCCCCUGGACCGCCAGACCCCCCGCUUCUGCACCCACUCCCGCCUUCGCCCUUCCCUCCUUCCUCCUCCUCCUCUGCUGCCGAGCGCCCUCUCUUCCCACUCCCUCUCUGUGUAGAAUCACAGGGAGUGACCUUGAGCCGAGAGGGCCUACCUCAUUUUACAGGAGAGGAAAUCCAGCUUCCAUUGAGUGAGACUCUUUUAUAAAUAACGUAAAAGAGUGUGUGAAACUGUGGAGGCAGGCUGUUGUAGAUAGGCGGUCGGAAAAGCUUUGAAGAGAUGGCAUGUGUGCUGAGUGCUUAAUUAGAAUAUGGAAGAGAGAGACAUGGGCCCUUCCUAUGUCCAGUUUUAGGAAAAGGCCCUAAAACUGGAGGUUUGGCAUGUUUCAAGAAUGGAAACAGAGGACAAAAACGUUCGAGUGAGUAUCAUUUUGCCUGUAAAAUGGGCAUAGAGGAGUAGAAUGGAGGAGUUAAAAUAAUGUAGUACUUAGUGCAAUGCCAGCUACGGGGUCAAUGUUCAAUAAUGGUUGUCCAUUUAUCAUCAUUGCUUUGUCCCGGACACUAUGCUAAGGCAGAAAGAAGGCUCUCUGAAAAUAAAACACAGUUACCAUUCUCCUCAGAGGUCCAGAACUGAUUUCAAAGAAGAUAGAAAUGACUUCAGGGUGAGACAGUCAGUGAAUCGUAGCUGAGUGAAUGGAUGGGGGAUUUCAAUAGGUAGACAGCCUGGUACUUAGAAAAGGCAUUAGCCUUUAUACUUUCUGGUGUGGAAAAGAAAGAAAGAAAAUACAUACCUUGUACAUUUUUUUUUCUUUGAGACAGAGUUUUGCUCUUGUUGCCCAGGCUGGAGUGCAAUCGGCUCACGGCAACCUCUGCCUCCCGGGUUCAAGUGAUUCUCCUGCCUCAGCCUCCCGAGUAGCUGGGAUUACAGGCACACGCUACCGCACCCGGCUAAUUUUAUAUUUUUAGCAGAGACAGGGUUCCUUCAUGUUGCUUAGACUGGUCUGAAACUCCCGACGUCAGGUGAUCCACCCGCCUUGGCCUUCCAAAGUGCUGGGAUUACAGAUGUGAGCCACCGCGCCCGGCCUCGUUUUGUUUCUUUGAGACGGGGUCUUGUUUUGUUGCCCAGGCUGGAGUGCUGUGAUGCGAUCUCAGCUCACUGCAACCUCUACUUCCCAGGUUCAGGUGAUUCUUAUACCUCAGCUUCCCGAGUAGCUGGAAUUACAGGCACCCGCCACCACGCCCAGCUGAUUUUUAUAUUUUUCGUAGAGAUGGGAUUUCACCAUGUUGGCCAGGCUGAUCUCAAACUCCUGACCUCAAAUGAUCUGCCCGCCUUGACCUCUCCAAGUGCUGGGAUUACAGGCUUGAGCCACCCCACUGUGCCCAGCAGGGCUCAUACAUACUCAUUACUAAGCAAGAAAGAAUGAAAAGAAUGAAAAUAAAUGAAUUAAACAUUGAAUUCAUGUAAUUGGGAAAAGGACAUCAAAAUAACCCAUGGAAAGCAGAGGAAGGGAUGAAGUAAACAACAUAAAUGAAAGGAUGAGAAAACUUGAACAGAACUAACUAAAGAAUGAGCAAGUCUGGACAAGUACAACUUAUGCAAUACUAGAAAAUCUGAAGGUGUGGAGAAAGUACUUCUAAUCUCCAAAGCUGGGAACAUAGGAGGUUUCAGCUCCAAAAGAAACCAGAAAGAAAAUCCUGGGGAAAUUUGGUUUAGAAAAAAAAAAUGUUCAAACAAACAAAAAUAGCUGAGGAAUCAUCCUGUCAUUGCGGGGAUGAAAAGCUGAGUGUCGUGGUCAUAUUAACAGGCCCGCAAAACACCAAUCAACUUUGGCUUUGCAAAAGGUUGUUGAUUACAAAUGAGUAACUGCCAGUCUGUGAAAUCUCCUGGCAACUGUGCCUGGCAUAGUCUUUUCGCCAUUCACAGGCCUUUGUAUGGAUCUGUUCCUCACUGCCUACCUUGUUCCAACUGAAAAACACUGAGGUCAAAUUCAUUCAAAUUCUAAUUUAAUGACCAAGUGUUUAUACAGAUUAGUUUGAAGCAAAUAAAGCCCAGAUGAGUGCUUUGCACAUAGUAGGCACUCAGUAGGGUUUUGUUGAUUAAAUACUAAGAAUUACUGUUUUGUCACUUUUGUUUGUUUGUUUUUGAGACGGAGUCUCUCUGUCACCCAGGCUGGUGCAGUGGCGAGAUAUUGGCUCACUGCAACCUCUGCCUCCUGGAUUCAAGAGAUUCUCUUGCUUCAGCCUCCCAAGUAACUGGGACUACAGGCCUGCACCACCAUGCCCCGCUAAUUUUUGUAUUUUUAGUAGCGGUUUUGCCAUUUUGGCCAGGCUGGUCUUGAACUCCUGACCUCAAAUGAUCCUCCUGCUUUGGCCUGCCAAAGUUCUGGGAUUACAGGCAUGAGCCACCAUGCCCGGCCUUUGUCACAUUUGAAGACUGAAAUGUUUAAGUCUUCAAUGUACAACUCUACAAUGUACAACUGAGGGGGAAAUGAUAGGCAUGUGUCAUGGGUUGAAUUGUAUUCCCCCAGGAGAUAUAUUGAAGUCCUAAUCCCCAGUACCUCAGAAGAUGACCUUACUUACACAUAGGGUCUUUGCAGACAUAAGUAGUUAAGAUCAGGUCAUAGUGGAAGAUGGUCAGCUCUUAAUCCAAUAUGACCUGAAAACAUAGCAGGAGAAUGCCAUGUGACGAUGGAAGCAGAUAUUGGGCUUAUACAGCUACAAGCCGAGGAACACCAAAGAUUGCUAGGGACACUAGAAGCCAAGAGAAAGACACAAAGCUGAUUCUCCCCUAGGAUCCUUGGGAGAGAAUAACCCUGCCCUUACCUUGGCUAUGAAUUGUAGUCACUAGAACUGUGAGAGAAUAACUUUCUAUUGUUUCAAGCCCCCUAGUUUGUGGUAAUUUGUUACUGUAGCUCUAGGGAACUAAUACAGCUUGUUUCCAAGAAACAUGUAUAUGUGUUUGUAUGUUGCUUCACACUAUGUGUUACCUAGGUGAGAACAAAAGAAUAGGAGGGUUCAUGUUUGAGAAAUAAUUACUAGGAUUGUAGUGAUUGUAGUAAGACAAAGAGAAGGAAGGUACAUCAGUUAUCCACUACUAUAAAAAUCCACUCCAGGCCAGGUGUGGUGGCUCACACCUGUAAUCCCAGCACUUUGGGAGGCCAAGACGGGAGGAUCACUAGAGUCCAGGAGUUUGAGACCAGCCUAGGCAACAUAAUGACACCCCCUCCUCUACAAAAAAAAAAAAAAAAAAGAAGAAGAAGAAGAACAUUAGCCAGCGUGGUGGUGCACACCUGUAAUCCCAACUACUCAAGAAGCCGUGGCAGGAAAAUCACUUGAACCCGGGAAAUGGAGGUUGCAGUGAGCCGAGAUCGCACCAUUGCACUCCAGCCUGGGUGAUAGAGUGAGACUCUGUCUCGAAAAUAAAUAAAUAAAUAAAAUAUCUGGGGGAAGAAUGUUCUAGAGAGAAAAAGAACAAACGCAAAGCCCCUGAGGGAGGAGCGUGCUUGAGUUUCCAAAGAAGCCAUUCUGCCUGGAACAGAGAGAGCAAGAAAUGAAAGUUAUUCAACAAGAAAGCUCAGGGAGGUAGUGAGGGUCCAGACCUUACAGGGCCUAACAAACCACUGUGGCAAAUGGUAUUGUCUGAAGAUGGCCACGACGCCCACUCCCAGUCCAUGAGCUUAUCUUCGACACUUCUCCCAUCAAGAGGUGAGGUCCCUGUCCCCUCCACCUUUAACUGAAUAGGCUUCUGUGACUGUUUUGACCAAUUGAGCAUGGUGGAAGUGAUAUUAUGUGACUUCCAAGGCUAAGUCAUAAAAGACAAAGCAGCUUCUGAUUUGUUCACCAGGACACUCAUUUUGGAAGCCUAUAGCUGCCACAUGGGGAAUCUGACUGCCCUGAGGCCAACAGGCUGUAAGGAAGUCCAGAUUAGCCCACAUGGAGAAACCACUUAGGAACGUCCUGAGAUGACAUGGAGAGAGUAGUGCUUUAUUCCCUGGGUGUCCCAACUCUAGCCAUCUAACUGCACUUGCGUGAGACACCUCAAGCCAAAACUAUCCAGCUGAGCCCUUCCUAAGUUCCUGAACCACAGAAGCCAUGGGAGAAAAUAAAGUGAUCAUGGUGGUUUUAAGUAAUAAUGCAAGUGAGAGAGGAUGAUGACUUAAGCUUGCAUGGUAUAGGUGAUGAGAGCUAGUUGGAUUCUGAAUACAAAUAUUCAUUUCCUAGAAAUAAUCUCAAACUUAUAGAAAAGUUGCAAAUACAGUACAAAGAUUCUUUUUUUCUGAGCCAUUUGAGAUGCCCCAUCAUUCUUGAAUACUUUCAUGUAUGUUUCCUACAAUGACAUUUUUGCAUAACCACACUAUAACUUUUAAAAUAAGAAAAAAAUCACAUGACUAACAUUUAAUCAGACCUUAUUCAGUUUUCCCCAAAUGUUCCACUAAUGUUCUUUAUAACAGAAGUUAUGAAAUCAUACAGUAAAUUUUAGUUGUGUGAUUUUCAAGAUCACACAUUGCAUUCAGUUUCCAUGUCUUUAUUCUCUUUCAGUUCUCUUUCAAUCUGGAGUAAUUCCGUAGUCUUUCCUUGACUUUUAUGACUUUGACACUCUUUGUUCAUUGUUUUGUUUUCUUUUUUAACUUCCCAUACUAUGCCAGUGUAAUGACCUUGACACUCUUGAAGAUUAUGGGAAGGUUAUGUUGUAGAACACCCUCUCUUUGAGUUUAUCUGAUGUUCUCUCAUGAUUCUAUUCAGCUUAUUCAUCUUUGGUAGAUAAUAUUACAGAAGUAGUGCUGUGAUUUUGUUAUGUUCUAUCAGAUGGCAUAUGAUUUUAAUGUGUUGCAUUAUUGAUGAUGCUAACUUUGAUCACCCAGUUAAGGUGGUGUCUGCAGGAUCUCUCCACUAUGAAAUUACUCUUUUUCCAUUUGUAAUUAACAAGUAUUCUAGGCCCGGCACGGUGGCUCACGCCUAUAAUCCCAGCACUUUGGGAGGCUGAGGAGGGAGGAUUGCUUGAGCUCAGGAGUUUAAGACCAGCUGGGCAACAAUUCAAAAAAAAUUAGCUGGGCAUGGUGGCCCAGCCUAUAUUCUUAGCCUCUCAGGGAGUGGGUUGAGUGGGGUGCUGAGGUGGGAAGAUCACUUGAGCCCAGGAGGUGGAGGCUGCAGGGAGCUAUGAUCGUACCACUGCACUAGAGCCUGGGCAACGGUGUGAGACCCUGUCUUUAAAAAAAAAAAAAGUAUUCUGUAAGAGGGUAGUUGAAGUUCAGACUUUGUAAAUACCUUAUCUUUCAUCAAACUUUUAAUUUACUCACUAUCUUACAUUUAUUUAUAUGGUUUCUUAUUUUAUUAAAUUGGUUGUAAGCCAUUGUCAUUAUUAUUUAUUUUGAUGUUCAAAUCAUUUAAGAUUUGGCUAAUGGAAUCUCCUUCGUGUUAGCUAGCAUCUGUGUCCUUUUGGCAUGUCCCCAUUACUCUUUGUGCACUUCUUUACUUUCUGGCAUAAGAAGGUCCAGGUUCAUCUUGGACUUCCUAGACCCAGCAACACAUUGAAAUGGCUGAGAUCAACCAUUUCUCCAAGAAUCCCUGGUUUCCUUUAGUGGAAUAUGGAAUUUAGAAACUGAGGCCCGUGCAUUCAGUGUGCUCAUUACUAUUAAUGUGUUGCUGCUUUAAGGCCCUCUCAGAGGACAGGGCUAAGGAAUAUGUAAAUAUGUUUGUAUUCAUUUACACACACGUUUACAUCUACAUUUAUUUCUAUGUUUAUCUAUGUAUUACUGAAGCCAUGAGUUUACAUUGAUACCUUCAUUUCUGAUCUAAUAUUCUAGGAUUUAUUUUCAUUUUUUCCCUUCCAUCCUUCACUACAAUCCUAGUCUUGUCUUCUCCUCAUAUAUUGAAGCCACCAAUUUUUAUUUUAUUUUAUUUUAUUUUUUAGAGACAGAGUCUUACUCUGUCACCCAGGCUGGAGAGCAGUGGCAUGAUCAUACCUCACUGCAGCCUCAACCUCCUGGGCUCAAUUGAUCCUACUGCUUCAGCCUCCCAAGUAGCUGGAACUACAGGCACAUGCCAUCACUCCCCACUAAUUUUUAUUUAUUUAUUUAUUUUUAAUUUUUUUUAGUAGAGACAAGAUCUUGCUAUGUUGGCCAGGUUGGUCUCAAAUACCUGGGCUCCAGGGAUCCUCCCACCUCAGCCUCUAAAAUAUUGGGAUUACAGGUGUGAACCACUACAUUCAGUCUUCUUUUAUUCUUAUCUACCUAACACAGAGUAACACAUUGCUUCUGGAUUUUGAGUUAGUGUCUCUAACAGACUCUCAUGUCCUUCAUGUAUCCACAUUUAUGAUCAGUCACUCUGUGUAUACCCAACCUUCUAUCACCACUGCCUACCCUUUCUCCAUGCAGAUGUCCUCCUCACCCCACUUGGGUUACAGAAUUCCAUGCCGACAAUUCAUCAGCCCGAUAUAUGGACGCUGUUAUCUGGCUGGGGCUCUGACACUCUAUGCUGGACCAGACCACGCCCUCCAAAGACAUCCUUCUCACCACUUCUGGGCUCUGACAUCACAGGCCAGGCUGCUUAUGACUAUGAGCAUUCUACUCACUCUGUGCAGACUCCAAAACCCUGAGCCACACUGUACUGCCGUCUACAUGGAGAAAUCUUCCUCACUCCACUCAGACUCUGGCACUUGUGCUGGGCAGCUCUCCUCUGCAGAUGCCCUCUUCUUGCAUAUAGUUUAAAUGUAGACCCAACGUGAGUCCCUGGUGGAUUCGAUGGAUUAAAGUGAGGGAAAAAAAGAGAUUUCUCCUGAGCUACUGGGAGAAUAGAAUUGUCAUUAGCUGAGAUUGGGAAGACUAUAAGAGAAACAGGUUGGGUGAAAAUAUUAGAGUUGUUUUGGAAUAAGUUAACUUCGAGAUACCUGUUGGACAUCCAGGCAGAGAAAAUAAGGAAGGAGGCAGAUGUAUAAAUUUUGACCACAGGGUAGAGGUCCAGGCUGGAGACAUAAAUUUGAGAGUUGUCAAUAUGUUUAAAUUUUUGAGAUGGUACAAGCUCACUAGGGAGCAACUUUAGAUAGAGAGGAGAGGUCUGAAAUCUGAGUUCUGAGGUUGUCUAACAUUUUGAGGUUGGAAGAUAUGGAAGAAACAUUGAAAAAACCUGAAAGAGAGGGAGAGGCCAAUUAAGAAGAAAAUUGGGUGAGUAUGGUGUCGUGGAAGUCAAUUGAAGAAUGUGUUUCAAGAAGAAUAUGAUGAAAUGAGUCAAAUUCUGCUGAUAGGUAGGACUGAGAACUGAUUGAAAAUUAUUUCUAGGCUGGGCACAGUGGCUCACGCCUGUAACCCCAGUACUUUGGGAGGCCGAAGUGGGCAGAUCAGAAGGUCAGGAGUUUGAGACCAGCCUGGCCAGCAUGGUGAAACCCUGUCUCCACUAAAAAUACAAAAAAUUAGCCAGGCAUGGUGGCGCCUGCCUGUAGUCCCAGCUACUCAGGAGGCUGGGGCAGGAGAAUCGCUUGAACCUGGCAGGUGGAGGUUGCAGUGAGCUGAGAUCGUGCCACUCUACUCCAACCUGGGUGACAGAAUGAGACUGUCUCAAAAAAAAAAAAAAAAAAAGGAAAAAGAGAAAAAAGAAAAUUACUUCUAGUUGUCAAAAAAAACCCCUUAUGAAAUAAAUUACAUUUCAUUUACAAUUUAUAGAUUUAAAAAAUGAGGAUAAUUUUGCCCCAAAUUCCAUAACUAUUCAGCAGCUAAAUUAGUGAUUUCAAAUUGUACUGGAUGCAUAUAGGAAAUGCUUUCUCUGAGGAGAAACUUCUGGGAGUAGAAUUCAAAUUAUCCAGACAAGGAUAUUAGAGAAAAAAGAAAGAUAAGGUCUAGACAAAAGUCAAGGAACAGAACAGAGAAGGUGGAACUCAGAUACUACAAUGUCAUAUUGUUUAACACUUUGCAAAAGAAACAGAAGAGGGCGCCUUAGAGCUAAGACAAUUUUAUUAGGACGUUCACUUGGAAAGAUAAAUAAGAAUAUCUGAGAAAGCCCUAAGAAAGACGGACAAUGAGGAAGCCUGUACCAUAAGAAAAUAAUAUUGACACAUAUUUUAGUUUAUUCUAUGUCCUCCUCACCCCACUUGGGUUACAGAAUUCCAUACCGACCACUCAUCAGCCUGAUAUAUGGACACUCUUAUCUGGCUGGGGCUCUGAUACUCUAUGCUGGACCAGACCACCCCCUCCACAGACAUCCUUCUCACCACUUCUGGGCUCUGACAUCACAGGCCAGGCUGCUUAUCGCUAUGAGCAUUCUACUCACUCUGUGCAGACUCCAAAACCCUGAGCCACACUGUACUGCCGUCUACAUGGAGACAUCUUCCUCACUCCACUCAGACUGGCACUUGUGCCGGGCAGCUGUCCUCUGCGGAUGCCCUCUUCUUGCAUAUAUUUUAAAUGUAGACCCAACAUGAGUCCCUGGUGGAUUCUGUGCUGCUAUAACAAAAUAUUGAGACUGGAUAACUUAUAAUGAAAAAGAAACAUAUUGGCUCACAGUUCUGGUGGCUGAGAAGUCCAAGAUCAGGUGCUAGCAUCUGGUGGGAGAGAGAGAGAGAGGGAGAGAGAGACAAAGAGACCAUGCCUGAAAGCCCCUUUAUUAAGGCACUAAACCCACUCAGGAGGGUGGAGCCCCAUGGGCCAAAUACUUAACCAAAGAUCCCACCUCCCAACACUGUCUCAAUGGCAUAAAUUUCAACGUAAGUUUUGAUGGGGACAAAUGUUCAAACCCAUGGCAGCACAUGAAUAAAACAGAAUAGAAAAGCCAAAAAUUUUAAAAAAUAAGAAAACCCAAAAAUAAACUUAAUGACAUCUGGAAGUCUAAUAAGUGGUAAAUAUGCCAUCUCAAAUCAAUAGAGAAAAAGAAGACCUUCUUAAUAAAUAGUCCUGUCAUAAAUGGGUAGCCAGUGGAAGAAGAUACAAUCUGUCUUAGUCUGUUUUCCGUUGCUAUAACAGAAUACCUCAGACUGAGUAAUUUAUAAAGAAAAUAAGCUUACUUAGCUCGUGAUUCUGGGGGCUGGGAAGUCCAAGAGCAGGGUGCCAGCAUCUGGUAAGGGCCUUCCUACUACAUCAUAAUAUGACAGAGUGCAUCACAUGGCAAGAGAGCAAGAGCAUGUCAACCUCUCAGGUCUCUGGUCUUCUUAUAAAGCCACCAGUCCCAUUAUGGAGGCCCUACCCUGAUGACUUUAUCUAAUCCUAAUUAUCUCCCAAAGGCCCCACAUCCAAAUGCCACCAAUCUAUAAAUUUGGGAGUUACAUUUCCAACACAUGAAAUUAGGAGGACAUGUUCAAACAAGAGCACCAUCAUAUCUGUUUUUCCACUUAAGAUAAAUUCCAAUGGAUCAAAUAUCUAAUUUUUUGAAAGAAGUAAAGCUAUAUAAAUACUAGAAGAAAAUAUGAUGAAAAUUUUCUAUAAUCAAGAAAUUGGAAACACUUUUCUAACUCUAACUCAAAAUCCAGAUGCAAUACAGGAAAAGACCAAAAUUGGAGGUAUACAAAACAACAAUAACAUUUUUGCAUAGCAAAAGACAUCAUAAGCAAAAUUAAAAGAUAAAUGACAAACCGGGAAUAUGAUUUCCAAUUUAUGUCAUAGACAAUGGGUUAAUGUCCAGUAAUGUGUUCUUCCCGGGAGUGGGGGUCAGGAGGAUGUUAUCGCAUUUGCCAAUUUCCAUAGAGUAAAUACUCCACCAUAGCCAGUGUUAACUUGCCAAUGUAAUAUCAGCUGCACUAAUGCUACAUCAGCGGGACUGCAAAAUUCCUAAAAAUUUAACAGUCAGCACUUGCAAGCUGGCACUAGCCAGCUUUAGCACACUGCUGCAAAUAUUCCUAAUAUAUGAUGGGCUUCUAAAGAUGGAGAAGGGAAGGAAACCCAUCCUAUGGAAGAUAGGCAAGAGAUACAAACACUUUGCAGUUCACACACACACACAAAAUGAAAAUAAAGGACCUUUAAAUAUAUGAAAAUGUUGAAUCGUACUACCCGUAAAAUAAAUGCAAAUUUAAACUAAAAUGAGAUGCCAUUUUUCAACUAUCAGAUUGGGAGAAAAUCUCAAAGUUCAACAAUAUAAUGUGUUUACCAGGCGGUGAGGAAAGAGGCACUCAUAUUUUGCUGGUGGGAAUGCAAAAAAUGGUACCAUCCAUGAGGAGGGUGUCAGCCUUAAGAAUGAAACUGAGGUAAAAUUAGUAUAAAUCAAAAGUGUAUUUGGGCCAAAUUCGAGUACUUUAAUUUCGGAAAUGUAUGUUCAAGUUGCCCUGAAAUAUAUGCUCCAAUUAGCAGCAGUUACAAGUGGGUUUCCAAAGGAAAAAAUGGGGUGGUUCCUAAAUUGAACAUGAGCUAUUGGUUGGCUAUACAUUAUUCUUUAUAUCACUAAUCCCAAGAACAUGAAUAUAAUGGGUGAAGGCCACAUAGUGCAAUUUAUGAUAGCAUUUUAGGUAAUUUAUCAGCUAGUCUGGAAACUACAA
RNAcentral lists this long non-coding RNA (10894 nucleotides) under Homo sapiens (human). RNAcentral's name for it is "non-protein coding lnc-RCL1-4:2". The record is from RNAcentral. Lineage: Eukaryota; Metazoa; Chordata; Mammalia; Primates; Hominidae.